This 252-nucleotide ribosomal RNA is filed under the name uncultured bacterium. Its description in RNAcentral is "partial 16S ribosomal RNA". It matches the Rfam family "Bacterial small subunit ribosomal RNA", at positions 524 to 776 of the family's 1533-position model. The record is from RNAcentral.
UACGUAGGUGGCGAGCGUUGUCCGGAAUUACUGGGUGUAAAGGGAGCGUAGGCGGGAUAUUAAGUUGAAUGUAUAAACUACCGGCUUAACCGAUAGAAGCGUUCAAAACUGAUAUUCUUGAGUGAAGUAGAGGCAGGCGGAAUUCCUAGUGUAGCGGUGAAAUGCGUAGAUAUUAGGAGGAACACCAGUGGCGAAGGCGGCCUGCUGGGCUUUUACUGACGCUGAGGCUCGAAAGUGUGGGGAGCAAACAGG